RNAcentral lists this long non-coding RNA (950 nucleotides) under Heterocephalus glaber (naked mole-rat). RNAcentral's name for it is "lncRNA (ENSHGLG00100048124.1)". The record is from RNAcentral. Lineage: Eukaryota; Metazoa; Chordata; Mammalia; Rodentia; Bathyergidae.
GCCUCGCUCUGGUUCCUGCGGCUGGCGGCCGAGCCGUGUGUCUCCUCCUCCGCCGCCGCCAUAUUGUCUGUGUGAGGAGAGGGGAGAGCGGCUGCCGCCGCUGCCGCUUCCAUCACAGGGAUCAAACUCGGGUCCUUGCCCUUGUGAGGCAGGCAGCGGAACCACUGAGCUAAAUCCCCAGCCCUGAGCUUCCUUAUUAAACAGUCUUUCACAUUCCUGUGAUUACCAUGAGAAAUCCCUGCUAAGUAUAGCAGACCUGUAAAUGCUUUUAGCUCAGCUAGUGAGGUGGCAUAGUAAGUACAUUUUUUAAUAUGGUUGUUGGUAUAUAUAAAACAUUUUGCUUGCAUUUCAGCCUUUGUGUAUUUAUUUUACAGCUGAUAAUUCACUUUUGACCUCCUCCAAAACUUGCAAAUCUGGUUUUCCAUGUGCCAUUAUACUGAAUUGGGCUAUUUCUACCAGAAAAAUCAGAAGAAAUCUUUUAACAAAUCCUGGAGUAGUGUGGGUCUAUUGGACCCUCUGUGAUGCUUGGGUAAACAUACACAAAACCAGUUAGCUGGAGCAUAACAUGGAUAAAAAUCUCAUUUUGCCACUUUUGCACACGUGCACACACCUUGCCAUUCAUCAAACCAAGUGGGUAAACACAGAUUGCAUCUUGUAUCCUUCAGGGAAAGGUACUGAGAUGCCAGCUACUAUUACACUAAAGUGCAAAUUUACAGAAAUUUAGAAAAGUAAGGAAUGGGUCCACUGGACCCAGUGUUUUGCCCAGCAGUUUAAUAGAAGAAGCUAUUGGGAGAAAGAAAGCAAAGGAAAUAACUGCCUCAUGAACUUCUUACUUGUUUUUUUCAGUUCCAGUUUUGUACAUGAAGUGUUAAGUGCAUUGUAUUUUGAUGACAGCUUUAUUUUCAUUUCACUUUAAAUACAGAUUUUGUUUUUUCUUUUUCUGGUACUAG